RNAcentral lists this long non-coding RNA (918 nucleotides) under Numida meleagris (helmeted guineafowl). Its description in RNAcentral is "lncRNA (ENSNMEG00000005848.1)". Lineage: Eukaryota; Metazoa; Chordata; Aves; Galliformes; Numididae. The record is from RNAcentral.
UUUUAUUCUAUUUUUUAGCAUAACCAGCUGACACCCACUGACGAUGCUUUCCCCAGUGUUGCUGCUUGACCCUGUUCUACAUUCCUCGCUGCUGAAUGCCCAACCAGCCACGCAUGGUCCUGAGUCCAGGUGCACUUCACAGGUUGGGCCGUGCUUUGCCUUUGGAGCCGUGGAUCACAUGCAGGUUUCCCUUGUGAUAGACAGAAGUAAUAUCUCCGGCAGCAGGAGUGCUCAACCAUGUAAGUCUCUAUAAAGUUAACGGUUUGGGAGUAAACAGCUUUUUAUGCAAGAGGAGAUGUAAGGAAAUACUGCUCUGCUCGCGCUCUGCCAUUGAGUUAAGGUUCCAGGCGCAGCAGAAGGCUGCUCCAAAGCUUAUGCUUGAAAACAGACCUGGAAAAGUAUGUGUGAGCUGGGAUUGUCUGGGGGAUGGAGGAGGAGGCCCACUCAUUCAGAAUCAGAGCUUUCAUAGGAAAAGGUCCGUUCCGGUAAAAUUCUCCACUCGUAUUUGACAAAGGAGAGGAAAGGAGCAGCUGCCAUUUCUCCCUGGAAAAGCUGCUCUGCAGAGUCCCCCAUUUUGGAAAGCUACAGCUGGAAGUGGUUCUGAUUAGCCCCAAGUGGGUAUUUGUAACUAUCGGUGUCGUUCUUCCCAUGGCACGUGGCUGUCUCCUGUGGGUCUGGUGGGAGGUGGGGCCGUCACCUGGGAGAUGAGUGACAACAAAUUGCGGAGAGCCCUUCUCUGCACGUGGGCAUUGAGUUCAUGUCCGAGCAGGGACGUAGAGCAGGGAAGGAGUAUUACUGCUUGGGCACCGAGGGCCAAACUUUAAAAGCGAAUUCAAGCUGAUAAUUAGUGAAAGUACAAAUCUGGCACGUGGCUGCUCCGUUUGGACCUAAAGCAAAUAAAGGCAUCUUGAGGAUGCA